RNAcentral lists this long non-coding RNA (485 nucleotides) under Homo sapiens (human). Its description in RNAcentral is "HSALNT0332751". Lineage: Eukaryota; Metazoa; Chordata; Mammalia; Primates; Hominidae. The record is from RNAcentral.
GUUGACAGAGAAUAACAGAGAUCUCAUCUCAAAGGGGGCCAGAGAUGGUGAAAGGAAGAAAGGGGAAAACCCAAGGCAGGUUCUCUGAGGAAAUGACUUUUAGGUUGAAACGGGGAGGAGGGGGAAUCCACCACCAGAGAAGGGAAUUGAGACCCACAAAGGUGAAGUAAUUGGCUCAGAGUUAAACAGCCUGACAACAGAAGAGACAAGCACCGCAUCUUCCGGUCUAAAAUCCCUCUCGAGGGUUCAGGAUACAGGAAAAGUAGUUAUGCCUGAAGAUAAGUUGCUGACUUCGCUUCUACUUCAGUCACCCCUUUCUGAUCUUCCCAAGAAGAAAUAAAGAAUGAACAUUAAGGACAAUUAUGAAGCAAUACCCACAAUAAAACAAGAAUGAGAUCAUUUUAUUAUUCAAGGAACUGAAAUAAUGUAGAAUUCAUGGAGAGAAGAUGGGGAAGGAUAUUGUAAGGAGAAGGAAUAGCAUGAGC